This 398-nucleotide transfer RNA is filed under the name Microcystis wesenbergii NRERC-216. RNAcentral describes it as "partial 16S-23S ribosomal RNA intergenic spacer". The stretch from base 151 to 224 matches the Rfam family "tRNA". Lineage: Bacteria; Bacillati; Cyanobacteriota; Cyanophyceae; Chroococcales; Microcystaceae. The record is from RNAcentral.
CUGGAUCACCUCCUUAAAGGGAGACCUAAUUCAGGUAGGAGACGAAAAAAAAGUAGUCCCUACCAAGAAUCAAUCCCAAAAGGUCGGAGCGAGGCAAAAUUGGCUUUCAAACUAGGUUCUGGGUUCACACAAGACCUGAAUCAGGAACAAGGGCUAUUGGCUCAGGUGGUUAGAGCGCACCCCUGAUAAGGGUGAGGUCCCUGGUUCGAGUCCAGGAUGGCCCACCUGCACAGGUGGCAAAAACAAAGAAAAGAAGCGAGGAAUCAGCACCUUAUCUUACUUAUAUAGUAAGAGAGAAUGCUGGCUCUGAGUACAGAGUCCAGAGGAACCUUGAAAACUGCAUAGAGCUAGGUGAAAAAGCCAAAAAAGAAGACCGCAAGGUCAAGCUAAUAAGGGCA